CCUACGGGUGGCAGCAGUGGGGGAUAUUGCACAAUGGGGGGAACCCUGAUGCAGCGACGCCGCGGGGGUGAAGGAGUGCUUCGGCAUGUAAAGCCCUAUCGGCAGGGACGAAGCAAGACGGUACCUGACUAAGAAGCCCCGGCUAACUACGGGCCAGCAGCCGCGGUAAGACGUAGGGGGCGAGCGUUAUCCGGAUUCACUGGUUGUAAAGGGAGCGUAGACGGCAAGGCAAGCCAGGGGUGAAAGCCCGGGGCCCAACCCCGGGACUGCCCUUGGAACUGUGCGGCUAGAGUGCGGGAGGGGCAGGCGGAAUUCCUGGUGUAGCGGUGAAAUGCGUAGAUAUCAGGAGGAACACCGGCAGCGAAGGCGGCCUGCUGGACUGCGACUGACGUUGAGGCUCGAAAGCGUGGGGAGCGAACAGGAUUAGAUACCCGAGUAGUC
Molecule: ribosomal RNA, 441 nt
Filed under: uncultured bacterium
Lineage: Bacteria
Description: partial 16S ribosomal RNA
Rfam family: Bacterial small subunit ribosomal RNA
Source: RNAcentral